Molecule: ribosomal RNA, 589 nt
Filed under: uncultured bacterium
Lineage: Bacteria
Description: bacterial SSU rRNA
Rfam family: Bacterial small subunit ribosomal RNA
Source: RNAcentral
CCUACGGGAGGCAGCAGUGGGGAAUUUUGGACAAUGGGCGCAAGCCUGAUCCAGCCAUUCCGCGUGAGUGAAGAAGGCCUUCGGGUUGUAAAGCUCUUUCGCAAGAGAAGAAAACUUACUUUCUAAUAAAGAGUGAGGUUGACGGUAUCUUGAUAAGAAGCACCGGCUAACUACGUGCCAGCAGCCGCGGUAAUACGUAGGGUGCGAGCGUUAAUCGGAAUUACUGGGCGUAAAGCGUGCGCAGGCUGUUUUGUAAGUCAGAUGUGAAAUCCCCGAGCUCAACUUGGGAACUGCGUUUGAAACUACAAGACUAGAAUAUGUCAGAGGGGGGUAGAAUUCCACGUGUAGCAGUGAAAUGCGUAGAGAUGUGGAGGAAUACCAAUGGCGAAGGCAGCCCCCUGGGAUAAUAUUGACGCUCAUGCACGAAAGCGUGGGGAGCAAACAGGAUUAGAUACCCUGGUAGUCCACGCCCUAAACGAUGUCUACUAGUUGUUGGUGGAGUAAAAUCCAUGAGUAACGCAGCUAACGCGUGAAGUAGACCGCCUGGGGAAGUACGGUCGCAAGAUUAAAACUUCAAAGGAAUUGACGG